This 324-nucleotide long non-coding RNA is filed under the name Equus caballus (horse). RNAcentral describes it as "lncRNA (ENSECAG00000048338.1)". Lineage: Eukaryota; Metazoa; Chordata; Mammalia; Perissodactyla; Equidae. The record is from RNAcentral.
GAACUCUUUAACACACCUUUGGGCAUUCUUGUUGGGCUUUCUCUAUCUCUCAAAGACCUAAGGUCCAGAGUAUAUUUUGGGAAGGCUUGCUUUAUACUCAGAGAGAAUUGCUUCCUCCUACUUUAAAAACAGAAAGGAAGAUAAAGAUCUCAUUUCCAUAACACAAUGUAUAAAGACAACCUGAUUCAGCUGAUGACUGCCAAGCCCUUUGAUGGGUCCCCUCAGAACCAUAUUCAUAUGAAGGGGAAGAAGUCAUGUGAGGACACAGGGAAGGCAGCCGUCUACAAGCCUGGAAGAGAGGUCUCACCAGAAACCAACCGUGAC